CCUACGGGUGGCAGCAGUGGGGAAUAUUGCACAAUGGAGGAAACUCUGAUGCAGCGACGCCGCGUGAGUGAAGAAGUAAUUCGUUAUGUAAAGCUCUAUCAGCAGGGGAGUAAUGACGGUACCUGAUUAAGAAUCCCCGGCUAACUACGGGCCAGCAGCCGCGGUAAUACGUAGGGGGCAAGCGUUAUUCGGGUGUACUGGGUGGAAAGGGAGCGUAGAUGGCAGUGCAAGUCUGGAGUGAAAGGGGGGGGCUCAACCCCAGGAGUGCACUGGAUACUGUACGGCUGGAGUGCAGGAGAGGUAGGUGGAAUUCGUAGUGUAGCGGUGAAAUGCGUAGAUAUUAGGAGGAACACCAGUGGCGAAGGCAGCUUACUGGACUGUAACUGACGUUGAGGCUCGAAAGCGUGGGGAGCAAACAGGAUUAGAUACCCGUGUAGUC
Molecule: ribosomal RNA, 439 nt
Filed under: uncultured bacterium
Lineage: Bacteria
Description: partial 16S ribosomal RNA
Rfam family: Bacterial small subunit ribosomal RNA
Source: RNAcentral